Molecule: ribosomal RNA, 901 nt
Filed under: uncultured bacterium
Lineage: Bacteria
Description: bacterial SSU rRNA
Rfam family: Bacterial small subunit ribosomal RNA
Source: RNAcentral
AGAGUUUGAUCCUGGCUCAGGAUGAACGCUAGCUACAGGCUUAACACAUGCAAGUCGAGGGGCAGCGGGAUUGAAGCUUGCUUCAAUUGCCGGCGACCGGCGCACGGGUGAGUAACGCGUAUCCAACCUUCCGUACACUCAGGGAUAGCCUUUCGAAAGAAAGAUUAAUACCUGAUGGUAUGAUGAGAUUGCAUGAUAGCAUCAUUAAAGAUUUAUCGGUGUACGAUGGGGAUGCGUUCCAUUAGGUAGUAGGCGGGGUAACGGCCCACCUAGCCAACGAUGGAUAGGGGUUCUGAGAGGAAGGUCCCCCACAUUGGAACUGAGACACGGUCCAAACUCCUACGGGAGGCAGCAGUGAGGAAUAUUGGUCAAUGGACGAGAGUCUGAACCAGCCAAGUAGCGUGAAGGAUGAAGGUCCUACGGAUUGUAAACUUCUUUUAUAAGGGAAUAAACCCUCCCACGUGUGGGAGCUUGUAUGUACCUUAUGAAUAAGCAUCGGCUAACUCCGUGCCAGCAGCCGCGGUAAUACGGAGGAUGCGAGCGUUAUCCGGAUUUAUUGGGUUUAAAGGGAGCGCAGACGGGUCGUUAAGUCAGCUGUGAAAGUUUGGGGCUCAACCUUAAAAUUGCAGUUGAUACUGGCGUCCUUGAGUGCGGUUGAGGUGUGCGGAAUUCGUGGUGUAGCGGUGAAAUGCUUAGAUAUCACGAAGAACUCCGAUUGCGAAGGCAGCACACUAAUCCGUAACUGACGUUCAUGCUCGAAAGUGUGGGUAUCAAACAGGAUUAGAUACCCUGGUAGUCCACACGGUAAACGAUGGAUACUCGCUGUUGGCGAUAUACUGUCAGCGGCUUAGCGAAAGCGUUAAGUAUCCCACCUGGGGAGUACGCCGGCAACGGUGAAACU